Mycena metata is the source of this 90-nucleotide non-coding RNA. The record is from the annotation of a GenBank genome assembly. Lineage: Eukaryota; Fungi; Basidiomycota; Agaricomycetes; Agaricales; Mycenaceae.
GCCUGUGUGGAUUAAUGGUAAAUCACCUCCGCUGCGUGAACCCCUCCGUCUCCUGUGGAGGAAACGUAGGUUCGACUCCUACUGGAGGCG